CAUAGGCCUAAUUUCUCUCAAAGCAGCCAUGGUAGCAAAUAAAAGGAUGGCAUUAUGUUGUAUAUUGAGUGAAUCUGGGGGUUUCCAGGUGAUUAUACAAAAUAUUUUACAACUUUGAAAAAAAAUCUAGCAUCAUUUUUCAGCAAUAGUUUUGUUAUUUAAAUUGUGCUGAGAAAUUUUCCUAGUCCUUGGUUGUUGCCAUUUAUAUGGGAUUUAUUCUGUGAUCAUAGCUCAGAGAUGCCACUUGCUGCUUGCUUUGGGGUGAGUAGUAAAUGCUUGUCAUUUGGGUGAAUAAUGUUAAGUGAGUAGCCAAGGGACAAAUAAUAUACCUUCUGCUCUUGUUCUCCAGUGCCUUCCUACUUACUCAGUAUUACUACUGGCGUGCCAAUUAUUUAUUCCUUCUUUUUAGAAGGAACAGUAUAGGUAUAUUCUAGAUACUUACACUAUUAAGUCUGGGGCAAACUUUGUAAUAUGUCCAUUCCAGUCAGACAAUUGGAUUUUAUAACAUUAUAAGGGCUGAGUGCUCUGACUUUCUUGAACCUUUAGAGUUCUAAUUCUCAGUCCCUGUGGAGCUGUAUAAGUUGUGGGGUUAGCAUAGUUGUACCCCACAGCAUGAAAGAUCUGGGACAAAGCCACAAUAACCUAUCAGAAGUAUGGGGAAAGAUAAAGCAAGUAAGGGGAAGUAGUGACCAUUUGUUGUGGUGCACCUCCCCAAUUCAUUUCAAUGUUUGUUAAAAUAGACAUUCUUGUGAAACUCCUGGUUAAUUUGUUUCACAAUAUACUGCACAACACACUCCAAAAAAUCUAAUUUGCAUUCUCACAAACUGUUCUAAAACAUUUUCAUAUGGUAUGAAAGAAUUUAAUUCUAAACUU
Molecule: long non-coding RNA, 873 nt
Organism: Sphaerodactylus townsendi
Lineage: Eukaryota; Metazoa; Chordata; Lepidosauria; Squamata; Sphaerodactylidae
Exons: 2
Source: RefSeq, a predicted model, not a curated record